GUGAACGCUGGCCGUAGGCCUAACACAUGCAAGUCGAACGGCAGCACAGUAAGAGCUUGCUCUUACGGGUGGCGAGUGGCGGACGGGGGAGGAAUACAUCGGAAUCUACUUUUUCGUGGGGGAUAACGGAGGGAAACUUACGCUAAUACCGCAUACGACCUACGGGUGAAAGCAGGGGAUCUUUGGACCUUGGGCGGUUUAAUUGGCCGAUGUCGGAUUAGCUAGUUGGCGGGGUAAAGGCCCACCAAGGCGACGAUCCGUAGCUGGUCUGAGAGGAUGAUCAGCCACACUGGAACUGAGACACGGUCCAGACUCCUACGGGAGGCAGCAGUGGGGAAUAUUGGACAAUGGGCGCAAGCCUGAUCCAGCCAUACCGCGUGGGUGAAGAAGGCCUUCGGGUUGUAAAGCCCUUUUGUUGGGAAAGAAAAGCAGCAGGUUAAUACCCCGCUGUUCUGACGGUACCCAAAGAAUAAGCACCGGCUAACUUCGUG
This 491-nucleotide ribosomal RNA is filed under the name uncultured bacterium. Its description in RNAcentral is "partial 16S ribosomal RNA". It matches the Rfam family "Bacterial small subunit ribosomal RNA", at positions 29 to 507 of the family's 1533-position model. The record is from RNAcentral.